This is a long non-coding RNA of Papaver somniferum (opium poppy), 2296 nucleotides long. RefSeq lists it as uncharacterized. The transcript is spliced from 10 exons. The record is from RefSeq and is a predicted model, not a curated record. Lineage: Eukaryota; Viridiplantae; Streptophyta; Magnoliopsida; Ranunculales; Papaveraceae.
UCAACUGCAGACUAAUAUAAUCUGAUAUUUGGAGAACUGAUCUAUAAUCAUCUGCUCAUCGAGUUUAGGAUUUCGAUCUGUUUAAGUUAUCAUCAGUUUCUUCGAUUUUAGGGUUCAUCAUCCAUUAAAUCAGAUUUUAGAGUUUCAUUUUAGGGUUUUUUUCUUGAUUUGGUUGCGAUUCGGGAGAAAUGGAAGUUUGUUGCUGAGGGGUAUUCUUUGGUAAAGAGCUUGUUGAAGAUCGUUACUCUGGUGUUGAAGUUAGGGUUACUCUUAUCAUCCUGUGAGAAAUGAAAUCAUCAUCAGAUCUAACUCAAGGAGUAAGUAGGUGAUCGAAGAGAACAUAGAUUGAAAAUGGUGGAGAAGCAUAUAUCUUGUUAUGUGCAGCAAAGUCGUCCCACCUUCUUCCGUUAUGGAAGCUAUUGUCUUGAGAUGCCACGUAGUAGAUGAUGAGACAGGAAAUCUUUCUUGGCAAGGACGUGCUGAUUUUUAUCUAAGGUGCAUUUUAUCCAGUCUUCCUUGGGAGGAGCUGGGUUAGUUGAGGUACUGGCAUCCUGAUAUGGAACUUAUGGUUGUGGUGCCAUUUAUUGUUUGUAUAGUAUAUGUGGUUUACAUUUAUUCCAUCCUGAUAUGGAAUCGUUGUUUAGGGAUAUACGUGUAUCGACAGGCAAACACAACCAUAUAUACUAGUGGAUCUGUUCAUAUUUUGACAUGGUUUACUUAAGAAAAUGUUCGGUGUAACCCCCUUAUAUGAUUCUCAAUGUGGCCGAUUCGUAAGAAAUUGAGAUGUCACUCUACAAUUCUAGCAGAAGGAACUUGGAAAAGUAACUUCGGUUUCCGUUUUUACCAUACACAUCUGAACACUUCAACAUACAGUUGUAUGUUUAAUGAUAUAAUGCAUAUACAGGAGCUAUAUAGGUUCUACAUCUCAAACUUAGAUACAUGUACCCGCACAUUGUCUAUUACAUUGGUUGCUCAUCUGCCUGAAAUGGUUAAGCCUUCUUAAGGAACUUGGUGUUGCAGCAAGUUCCCGAUGAGAUUGAAAGGGUUAUGGUUGGUAUUGAAGCUUACUUGAGCAUUAGGAAGCGUACUUAUUAUAUUGGUGUCUCUGUUUUUGAGUUUGAUGAUGAAAGUGUGAAAGCUCGUAAUGAAAAGGAUUUCUUAGAAGAUUUGUGGGAUAGGAUAAAAGUGUUGCCCAAUAGUUGAUGGAAAGUCGACAGUGCUGCUACUCCCUGAACCGCCCUUCAACCGAUGUACUACACUUUAGUUAUUAUCGACCUUUGCAAGGCUCUUCCUGGGGCAUUUCCAGCAGUGGUGGCUGGAGCAGUUCGCGCUCUCUUCGAGAGGAUGGUUGAUCUGGAUAUCGAGUGCAGGAUGCGGCUUAUCCUAUGGUUUUCACAUCACUUGUUGCCUUUCUGGCCUCUGCAGUAGGGACAAGAGUUUCCGCAGCCUGUGCACAUGCAUCAUUAACAGAAUUGUCCAAGGAGGAAAACCAGCUAGUCACAAGAUCCAAACAAAUGGAUCUGAAGAUAGGUGCGAACAUGCAAUCCAUAAGUGGCUCUAAUUAUUUAUUUUUUUUACUGGUCAAAAUGUUGUCUAGUGAUUGAUUCUUCUUGAAGGUAUUUCGUAUUAUCUUUUUGCUGCAACUAUUUGUAUGAGUCUGUUAGAGACUAUUUGGAGUAGAGAAGGUGGACAUCAUGGAUCACCCACAAGUUAAAGCCACCAAAAAGAAAACCAGGUUGUACAAGAUGGAAUUAAUGCUCUUUCCUCUGCUCCUUUGUCCACUCAAAGUGUAAAAGUUGCUGCAAAAGUUGGCCUAGCUGCAGCUGCAAUGAAAGCAAAACUGUUUGCAGAUCAUGAGGAGCGCGAAAUACAGAGAAUGGCAGCCUGUAUAAUUAAUCAUCAGCUAAAGAGGCUCGAACUGAAGCUGAAGCAGUUUGCGGAAGUGGAGACCUUGCUGAUGAAAGAACGCAAGCAAGUAUAAAAGGCAAGGCAGCGGCUAGCAGCUGAAAGAGUCCAUAUCAUAUCAACGCGUUUUAUGUGUUCCCUUGGAAAUUUGGAACCUAGUAGGUUUCUAUGUGUUCCCUUGGAAAUUUGGAACCUAGUAGGUUUCCAUGUAUUCCCUUAGAAAUUUAACACUUGGCAAAAAAAAAGGUUGGUACUUAGAUAAAUUUCAGUUAUUUGAUUAUAUGAAUAUGAUAUGAAUAGAUUGAAGAAAUUGUUGUUGAGUGUGGUUAUGAAUGCAUUGAAAGGUGUAUGCAGGGUAUUGAAUUUAGAAUUCCGGCUUAUUUCCGGUAGA